Molecule: unclassified non-coding RNA, 351 nt
Filed under: soil metagenome
Description: partial contains 5.8S ribosomal RNA, internal transcribed spacer 2, and large subunit ribosomal RNA
Rfam family: 5.8S ribosomal RNA (bases 1-120)
Source: RNAcentral
GAUGAAGAACGUAGCGAAAUGCGAUAAGUAAUGUGAAUUGCAGAAUUCAGUGAAUCAUCGAAUCUUUGAACGCACAUUGCGCCCGCGAGUAUUCUCGCGGGCAUGCCUGUCCGAGCGUCAUUUCAACCCUCAGGGCCCGCCUGCUUGCAGGCGCGGCGCUGGUGUUGGGGAUCGGCUACCCUGCCGUCCCCCAAAUACAGUGGCGGUCUCGCUGCAGCCUCCCCUGCGUAGUAGCAACACUCGCAUGCGGAGCGCGGCGCGGCCACGCCGUAAAACCCCCUACUUUCUGAACGUUGACCUCGGAUCAGGUAGGAAUACCCGCUGAACUUAAGCAUAUCAAUAAGCGGAGGA